Molecule: ribosomal RNA, 497 nt
Filed under: uncultured bacterium
Lineage: Bacteria
Description: partial 16S ribosomal RNA
Rfam family: Bacterial small subunit ribosomal RNA
Source: RNAcentral
GAUGAACGCUGGCGGCGUGCCUAAUACAUGCAAGUCAAGCGAACGGACGAGAAGCUUGCUUCUCUGAUGUUAGCGGCGGACGGGUGAGUAACACGUGGAUAACCUACCUAUAAGACUGGGAUAACUUCGGGAAACCGGAGCUAAUACCGGAUAAUAUUUUGAACCGCAUGGUUCAAAAGUGAAAGACGGUCUUGCUGUCACUUAUAGAUGGAUCCGCGCUGCAUUAGCUAGUUGGUAAGGUAACGGCUUACCAAGGCAACGAUGCAUAGCCGACCUGAGAGGGUGAUCGGCCACACUGGAACUGAGACACGGUCCAGACUCCUACGGGAGGCAGCAGUAGGGAAUCUUCCGCAAUGGGCGAAAGCCUGACGGAGCAACGCCGCGUGAGUGAUGAUGGUCUUCGGAUCGUAAAACUCUGUUAUUAGGGAAGAACAUAUGUGUAAGUAACUGUGCACAUCUUGACGGUACCUAAUCAGAAAGCCACGGCUAACUACGUG